Molecule: ribosomal RNA, 293 nt
Filed under: uncultured bacterium
Lineage: Bacteria
Description: partial 16S ribosomal RNA
Rfam family: Bacterial small subunit ribosomal RNA
Source: RNAcentral
GUGGCCCGCCGCCGCGGUAAUCCGGAGGGUGCAAGCGUUGCCCGGAAUCACUGGGCGUAAAGGGUGCGCAGGCGGGGCAGCAAGUCGGAGGUGAAAGCCCAUGGCUCAACCAUGGAAGUGCCUUCGAAACUGUUGCUCUUGAGUCCCGGAGAGACUGUCGGAAUUCGUGGUGUAGCGGUGAAAUGCGUAGAUAUCACGAGGAACACCAGAGGCGAAAGCGGACAGCUGGACGGGUACUGACGCUCAGGCACGAAAGCGUGGGGAGCAAACAGGAUUAGAAACCCUAGUAGUCC